AUGGUCUCCUUUUUCAAGAAAUGUUCGAACUGUGGGAGCAAUCUCCCUGAGGCAGAUGGACAUUCUAAAUGCCUCUUAUGCCUGGGUGAGGGGCAUAUCACUCAAUCCUGCCAUGUGUGCCAGGGGUUUACACCUCAGGCACGUAAAAAUCGGGAAUCCAGAUUGAAAGCUUUGCUCUAUGAGCAGGCCCUGGCGCCUAACCUCGCUGGGCCUUCCCCCCCUCAGGCUAGGCCUCAUCCAUCGGCCUCAAACAACGCUAGAUCGCCAAGCCCCGCGAGUCAUCCACCAUCUGAGGCGGUCCAGACUGGGCCUCUGAGUGUGGAGGAACCAGGGACUGCCCUAGACUCCCACCAAUCCACCCGUCCGCGCGAUGCCCGAAAGAAGACAAAAAAAGUAAAGCAAUUGAAAGCACCGCGCCCUCGGCCCACCCGGCAACAACCCGACCUUACCAUAAGACGCUCCCCGGUGCGGAGCGAUCCUCCUCCGCUCACCCCAAUUGAGCCGCAGGGCUCACAGGUGCUCAGCCCAACCGGGCUUACCCCUGCUCAGCCGGCCCCACUGUUGCCGAGCGAACAGCAGGAGGCGCGGGGUCGGGGACGGAGCCUGGCGGCACGCAGCUCAUCAUCGAGCUCCCUCACUUCCUCUCCCUCACCUAAAAGAUCCAGGAGGGGCCAGAGAGGCCGCCCAUCCCGGCGUCGGCAUUCCUCUUCAUCGAGCCCGGGGCGCUCCAUUGCUGAUUCAAACGCCAGGAGCCGCUCUAGAGACUCCCGAUUCCCUCCUUAUCCAUAUGGAUUCCCUCCCUACCCAUUUAUGCCACCCGGAUUCGAGGGCUUUCACUUUUGGAAUCCAUAUGGGCUCUAUUCAGCCCCACCGGGUUCGAAGCGUAGUUACGCGUCUCAAGACUGCACCCUGCUGGCAAGCCGGGGCAAUGCAGCUGCAGAAAGUCUCCCUUUAAAACAAACCUCAGGCUCAGCGCCGGAGAUGGGAGAAAGGGAAAUGCGCGCCCAAUCUCCACCCCCUUCAGCGCCACAGGUGCCGCCGGUCCCAGGGACCCCGCGGGUGGGGGCGUUACUGGGACCCUCUCAGGAGACUGAGGCUGAUCGCUCUGAAGACACUGAGGGCCAACCUUCCACGUCAGCUCCACUUGCGGACCCGCAUGAUGACCUUGACCCCCCCUCAGCGGAGGAUAUCAAAACCUUCUCAUCUUUAUUGAUUCGCCUCUCUAAGGCGCUUAACUUGCCAGCUCAAAAACCUGCAAAGGUGGUCAGUGACCCCGUUUAUCCUUCUUCCAAACAACAAGGGCCCCUUACCACAGCGCUGCCAUCCCUUCCCUACUUAAUAGAGAUAAUUAAGAAUGAGGGAGUAUCUCCAGCGGCUCUUCCUGCUACCCCCAGGAGAUACCUCUAUAAAAUUGAUUUUUCCGGAGCUCAAUGGUUAGCCAAGCAGCCUAAACUGAAUUCUCGUGUUGUGGAUGUUACCCAACCCAAGCAAAUUCAGCGUUCCCAACCAGCGCCCACGGAUAAAGAGGGCAAAAAACUGGAGAGCAUGGGGAAGAAGUUCUAUUCU
This is a long non-coding RNA of Anolis carolinensis (green anole), 1566 nucleotides long. Lineage: Eukaryota; Metazoa; Chordata; Lepidosauria; Squamata; Anolidae. The record is from Ensembl.